AUCUUGUGGUAAGGACAUUUACAUAAUAACUCUUUGAAUCUUUCCCAUUCCUUAUAUAGAGAUCCGUCAUCCAUUUGCUGAAAAGUGGUGAUCUCAUUUAGCAACUU
Gossypium hirsutum (cotton) is the source of this 107-nucleotide non-coding RNA. The record is from Rfam. Lineage: Eukaryota; Viridiplantae; Streptophyta; Magnoliopsida; Malvales; Malvaceae.